Molecule: long non-coding RNA, 1649 nt
Filed under: Sus scrofa (pig)
Lineage: Eukaryota; Metazoa; Chordata; Mammalia; Artiodactyla; Suidae
Description: lncRNA (ENSSSCG00030068975.1)
Source: RNAcentral
AUGGUUUCCACUAUGAUAACCACAAAUUUGACUUUGAAAUCUGAAGCACUAACUGUUUGCCAGAGAGCAAGAGGAGAAGUUGGUGUGGUCCAUACAGGUCAGCCUCUUUGCAGGGGCUGGAAGAAUGAAUGGAGGAUGCAGAGAAGCCAGCAAACAAGGUACCUGCCACACGUACUGUUUACAACAGCUGCGCCUAAUUUAAAGCAACAAAACUUCAAAGAAAGGAAAGAACAUCUUCUGGAAACAUCAGGAUGAUCUGACUCCAGGCACUGACACCAUCAUCCAUCAGAAGUCAUGACCUGUGAUUUGAGGGUAUGAAUUAGAUCGUAGAUUCUCAAGAGAAUUGAUGCCCUUUGGCAACUGUAAAAUGAAGAACUCUGUAUCAUUUUGUUGAGGAUGAGUGAUGUAGUUUUUUGUUUUUGUUUUUUAAUACGAUGGCUUUAAGUGAAGACAGGGCCACACAAAUUGCAUGACUAACUCCUCUCAAAAGUUAGAUAUCUUUUGCAGCCUACUCACUGAAGUCAUUUACAGUUCUUAAUACCAGCAAAGUGGAUAUAAUUGCACAGUGGGAUUUAUUCUAGAUGAAUCAGGAUAUGGGGGAGAAAAAUGGACACAUUAAGAAGAAAAAUUAAAUUGAGCACUUAAAAUAAUUGACCAAAGAAAAUGGUCAAUGUAUGUUUUAUCUUUUCUUCCUUUAAAAAUACAUGUUGUAUGGAAAUUGUGAUGAGGGGAAAAAAAAAAAAAGAAAAAACCCACACACAAUUAAAAGGGACAGGUACCUGACUGGGUUUUCCCAUCUCUUCCCCCAAAUGUCCAGCUCACAGGAACUCCUAUGGUCCACCUCUGUGCAGAGAUGAAAAUCUUUCCUUUCCAGAGUCAAAGUCAGCUCUCUGAAUGUUUAUAGCCUAAAAUUAGUGUCUGUGAAGCUGGUAAGACUGUUGCUUUGAACAUUGGUGUUUUAGGCAGUUUCCAGGUAACACUGAAAUGACCGUUUCUUAGCACUUGCCAAACCUAUGAACAAUUGUUAAAAUCUAAAUUAAACCCAUAUUAAACUGACUUUUUUUUUUGACAUCAAAGUGAUGCCAAGAUACCUGAUAUGAUACCCAGAGUGAGUAUGGAAAAGAGGGACUCUCACUAUGCUUUUGGGAAAAGUGUAAAUUGACACAACUUUUUCAAACAAACUUGAUAAAAUGUACUUCCAAGUCUUAAAGCAGUCAUUUAUUUAAUCAAGAGUAUUUAUUGAGUGUCUUCUAUAUCAUGGGCUGGCAAUUAUAUUCUAUCAGUGAGUGAAUAGACAUUACACAGAUAAUUACAAGUGCAAUGACCCCCAUGAAAGGAAAGUCAAAAGGACCUGAGAGAGAGGCAUCAGUCCUGCGAAAGUAAUUAGUCUACAGGGAGUUCCCGUCGUGGCGCAGUGGUUAACGAAUCCGACUAGGAACCAUGAGGUUGCGGGUUCGGUCCCUGCCCUUGCUCAGUGGGUUAAUGAUCCGGUGUUGCCAUGAGCUGUGGUGUAGGUUGCAUACGAGGCUCGUAUCCCGCGUGGCUGUGGCUCUGGCGUAGGCUGGUGGCUACAGCUCCGAUUCGACCCCUAGCCUGGGAACCUCCAUAUGCCGCGGGAGCGGCCCAAGAAAUAGCAACAACAACAACAA